RNAcentral lists this ribosomal RNA (774 nucleotides) under uncultured Neocallimastigales. Its description in RNAcentral is "partial large subunit ribosomal RNA". It matches the Rfam family "Eukaryotic large subunit ribosomal RNA", at positions 23 to 616 of the family's 3401-position model. The record is from RNAcentral. Lineage: Eukaryota; Fungi; Neocallimastigomycota; Neocallimastigomycetes; Neocallimastigales.
ACACGCAUGACACACUGCAUAUCAAUAAGCGGAGGAAAAGAAACUAACAAGGAUUCCCUUAGUAACGGCGAGUGAAGCGGGAAGAGCUCAAAUUUGAAAUCUUCAAGGUUUUACCUUGACGAAUUGUAGUUUAAAGAAGUGUUUUCUGUUGAAGUUUUGGUAAAAGUUCUUUGGAAUAGGACAUCAUAGAGGGUGAGAAUCCCGUAUUUGACCAUUAUUUUCAGCUGUGUGAUACACUUUCAAAGAGUCGGAUUGUUUGGGAAUGCAGUCCAAAAUGGGUGGUAAAUUUCAUCUAAAGCUAAAUAUUGGCGAGAGACCGAUAGCGAACAAGUACCGUGAGGGAAAGAUGAAAAGAACUUUGAAAAGAGAGUUAAACAGUACGUGAAAUUGUCAAAAGGGAAGCGUUUGACACCAGUGUUGUUUUCUCGAAAAUCAAUUAAAAAAGGCCGGAUUUUGUGUUGUAUUGACCUUAAAAGCUUUCUUCACUCUUUUCUUGUCUUUUUUAAUGCACUUUUCGUUUAACAAGUCAACAUCAGUUUCUUUUGUUGUAAAAGGGUCAUUGGAAGGUGGCUUUCUUUUCGGAGAAAGUGUUUAUAGCCUUUGAUCUCUGCAACCGGAGAGACUGAGGUCUGCAGCGUAGACUCUUCGGGGUUAAAUACAUUUGUGCUAAGCUAUAGCUUUUUAUAGACAACUUGUUGACUAUAUUUAGUCUUGUGGCUUACUCGCUUAUGCUAUUUUACCUACGCUUAGGAUGUUGAGCGCAUGUCUCUCUCU